GUGUGUGUGUGUGGGAGGGGGCUGCAGCACAGUAUGCAAACAAGAAAUGACAAAGAACAACUAUACAUGCAAGAGGAGAGCCCUAAAGAGGACAGAAAUCAGUGGGAGGAAAGAGGGAGCACUGUGCAACGAUGAUGAGAUAAAAGAGGACAGGGACGCAGCGCAUGAGUGGCAGAGAAACCGAACGGAUUUCCAGUGAGAGAUGAUGCUAGUUGGAGCCUUACCUGCAUGCCAGGAAGGGGCCCCGGCAGCUUGAUGUUGAGGAAGCUGCGGACCAGCUGGUAUGUUCCAGGCACACCUCCCAGUUGGGCCUGGUGGAGAUUCCCAAAGACCGUUCCCAUCGUGUGGUGUUUAUAUCUGCCAGUUCAGCAAAACCUGAAUUUCAGCUAAACUCCAGAUGAAUGAAAACGCAUCGCUUGAACUUGAGCGGUCGCUGAAACGGUUCCAAAGCCAGCUACCUGUUCUCCAGGAAGCUGAGCGCCUGACGCACGAAGGCCAUCUGCAUCUCAACUGAAGUGCGACUCUUGAGGGUGUCUUUGGCUGGAACCAGAAGCACAUCUGUCAUCUGCUUCACCAUAAGCCACAGCUCUGAGACGUUCUGGAGGACAGAGGGGGACACAGCUUCAUGAAAAAUAUUAAAACUGCAACGCCUCAAGCAGACUCUAAGAGCAUCAUUUAUUUAAAGGGCUUCAAACAGCAGGAGAGAACGUUUGUUUGUUAGGGAGACUGAAGUUUUGGCUUGCUAUUAGCGCCCCCUGGUGUCCAGUUAAUAAAACCAAAAGUGAAACUGUU
Molecule: long non-coding RNA, 792 nt
Organism: Nothobranchius furzeri (turquoise killifish)
Lineage: Eukaryota; Metazoa; Chordata; Actinopteri; Cyprinodontiformes; Nothobranchiidae
Source: RefSeq, a predicted model, not a curated record